AUCUUUCUCUUACUUCUCUAUUUAUUAAGACCAGCCUCGAUCUCUGUCCCUAUCUCUUUUCUCUCUUGUUUUCGCCAAAAACAGCACCUCUCUCUCUCUCUCUCUCCCUCUCACAUGUGAGUCCUCUCAUUUCAUUUCUUUACUUGUUAUGUUGGGUUGACAUAACAUAAUGCGGUUAAUGGUUUGAGAUUUUUUUUUAAUUAGAUGCCAAGAAAUAAGAGAAAUCCCAGGCGAAGAAAGAAAAUGAAUCUGAAAGACUUUAUAGUUGCUGAUCUACGCACAAAGUUGAUCACAUGUUGGAAUUGGGGGAUUAGGAAAAAGACAUGGCUAAAGCUUCGACAUCUAAGCGAAAGCGAAUUACAGAGGCCAAGUCUGCUUUCUCCCGAAGGUCCAAGACACUAAAAGAGUCUAAUAUGCUUUUCAAACCAUCUCAGCUAUUGAUGGAGCGGGAGGUCACUACAAAAAAGAUUGCUAUUUGCGAUGAAACUUUUUUGACAACUACAAAAUGCCGUCGUAAAAACUAGCUUUUUUGACGGCAAAUCUCUUCCGUCGACAAUUACUCGUCAAAUAUUAACAUAUUUGUGACGGCAAAAUAAGUCUGUCAAAAAUGCCUAUUAUUUUUGUCGAAAAUGUGAUUUUUUUUGGAGGGAAGUGUUCCCGCCUUACUUUUUACAACGGCAUAAAAAUGUUUGUCGCUAGUAAAGUAUUAUUUACGACGACUGAAAAAAAACCGUCGGAACUAUUAACACUUGUGACGGCUUUGGUACGUCGAAAAUACAAAACAUAUAUUUUUUAUGGUGUUA
This is an RNA transcript of Quercus robur (English oak), 803 nucleotides long. RefSeq lists it as uncharacterized. The transcript is spliced from 2 exons. NCBI's taxonomy places the organism in Eukaryota, Viridiplantae, Streptophyta, Magnoliopsida, Fagales, Fagaceae. The record is from RefSeq and is a predicted model, not a curated record.